Molecule: ribosomal RNA, 329 nt
Filed under: uncultured eukaryote
Lineage: Eukaryota
Description: partial 18S ribosomal RNA
Rfam family: Eukaryotic small subunit ribosomal RNA
Source: RNAcentral
CCCUUAGAUGUUCUGGGCCGCACGCGCGCUACACUGAUGCAUUCAACGAGUCUAAAACCUGGUCUGAGAGGGCUGGGUAAUCUUUUGAAAGUACAUCGUGAUUGGGAUAGAUGAUUGCAAUUCUUCAUCUUCAACGAGGAAUGCCUAGUAAACGCAAGUCAUCAGCUUGCAUUGAUUACGUCCCUGCCCUUUGUACACACCGCCCGUCGCUCCUACCGAUUGAACGAUCCGAUGAAAACUGUGGAUUGAGAGUCUGAGUGGGUUCGCCUACCUCAACUUUCGAGAAGCGGUUUAAAUCUUAUCGUUUAGAGGAAGGAGAAGUCGUAACA